AAUCCAUAGGUUAAUGAGGCGAACCGGGGGAACUGAAACAUCUAAGUACCCCGAGGAAAAGAAAUCAACCGAGAUUCCCCCAGUAGCGGCGAGCGAACGGGGAGGAGCCCAGAGCCUGAAUCAGCAUGUGUGUUAGUGGAAGCGUCUGGAAAGGCGCGCGAUACAGGGUGACAGCCCCGUACACAAAAGCGCAUGUGCUGUGAGCUCGAUGAGUAGGGCGGGACAC
Molecule: ribosomal RNA, 226 nt
Filed under: Salmonella enterica subsp. enterica serovar Agona
Lineage: Bacteria; Pseudomonadati; Pseudomonadota; Gammaproteobacteria; Enterobacterales; Enterobacteriaceae
Also listed under: 1 other name
Description: partial 23S ribosomal RNA
Rfam family: Bacterial large subunit ribosomal RNA
Source: RNAcentral